This 222-nucleotide non-coding RNA is filed under the name Thermomonospora curvata. RNAcentral also lists the same sequence under 1 other name. Lineage: Bacteria; Bacillati; Actinomycetota; Actinomycetes; Streptosporangiales; Thermomonosporaceae. The record is from RNAcentral.
CUAGGCUGUGUGGGCCGUGGUGUUCGGGAAUACCGGUGCGGCGCGUCCCUUUUCCGGGAGCGCGCCAAGGCCGGAGCGGCCCUCGCCACUGUGAUCGGGAGAUCCCGCCGUUCUUUCCCCGGCCGGUGCCGGGCGGGGAGACCACUGGGCGCAGGCGCCUGGGAAGGUCGAACGGCGGGCUGGACCGUCAGCCAGGAGACCGGCCACGGCGUUCGACCACCG